This is a long non-coding RNA of Gordionus sp. m RMFG-2023, 385 nucleotides long. RefSeq lists it as uncharacterized. Lineage: Eukaryota; Metazoa; Nematomorpha; Gordioida; Chordodea; Parachordodidae. The record is from RefSeq and is a predicted model, not a curated record. The transcript has 3 exons.
CUCAGUUUAGUUGCACCAGUACUUUUUAAGUUAAGAAAAUGAAAAUUUUAUAUGCUAUUAUUGCCAAUUAUAUAUAUGUAUACUAUUGUGAAAACAUAUCAGGCUCUCAUCUGUGUUUUUGUGAUAAUGACAAUGACAUGAAUCUUACACUGUUUAAAAACUGCCAAAACUAUAAGAAAUGUUUGUGCUUGACUAGAAAAGAUGGCAAAUAUUGUAAUAAAUGUAAAUCGCAAUUUUAUUUAGAAGGAAACAAAUGUAAACCCUGCCCCUGUCUUAAAUCUCAUUCAAAUGGAGAAUGUCUAUAUACAAAUAAUAGAAUUUUAUGUACUGUAUGUAAAAAUGGUUUUGUAGGAAAUUUUUGUAAUAUAUGUCCUAACGAUCAUUA